This 475-nucleotide ribosomal RNA is filed under the name uncultured bacterium. RNAcentral's name for it is "bacterial SSU rRNA". It matches the Rfam family "Bacterial small subunit ribosomal RNA", at positions 915 to 1391 of the family's 1533-position model. The record is from RNAcentral.
GGGGGCCCGCAAGCGGUGGAGCAUGUGGUUUAAUUCGAUGCAACGCGAAGAACCUUACCUGGUCUUGACAUCCACGGAAGUUUUCAGAGAUGAGAAUGUGCCUUCGGGAACCGUGAGACAGGUGCUGCAUGGCUGUCGUCAGCUCGUGUUGUGAAAUGUUGGGUUAAGUCCCGCAACGAGCGCAACCCUUAUCCUUUGUUGCCAGCGGUCCGGCCGGGAACUCAAAGGAGACUGCCAGUGAUAAACUGGAGGAAGGUGGGGAUGACGUCAAGUCAUCAUGGCCCUUACGACCAGGGCUACACACGUGCUACAAUGGCGCAUACAAAGAGAAGCGACCUCGCGAGAGCAAGCGGACCUCAUAAAGUGCGUCGUAGUCCGGAUUGGAGUCUGCAACUCGACUCCAUGAAGUCGGAAUCGCUAGUAAUCGUGGAUCAGAAUGCCACGGUGAAUACGUUCCCCGGGCCUUGUACACACC